RNAcentral lists this long non-coding RNA (765 nucleotides) under Equus caballus (horse). RNAcentral describes it as "lncRNA (ENSECAG00000051543.1)". Lineage: Eukaryota; Metazoa; Chordata; Mammalia; Perissodactyla; Equidae. The record is from RNAcentral.
CAACAGGCAGCUGCUUUGCACAUGAAGAACUUGCAUUUUGCAAGUUGCAGUGUUCUCCCUGCAGAAGAUAUCAAGCUGAUGUAUUAGUGUCUCCCACUCUUUACUCCAAUUUUCUUAUCAGGCAACCAUCAGGUCUAUCAUUGUUUCUUCAUUUGGAGACAGAACUGGUCACUCCACGGAAAAUAACUCUCAGGCCAUCAAUGCGGUGAUGCCACAAUUUCUUUCCGAGAGGCGGGCAUGUUAUCAGUGAAGCCCUGGAGAACAGAGACGUAAAAGACAGCGCUUUGAACUGAAAUGAUGUGCGGUGUAAUCGGAGGCUGGCUGGUGGGUAGUGUGGGGUCCGCAUGAAAGACUCCCCCCAGGAUACUCAGCUUUUCGAGCUGUUUGUAAAGUGGAUUGUUCCCCAAAGAGAAUGAGGAGUAAAUAUAUCUCAAGUUUAAUGCUCUGUUGAAAAGAAGCAAAGACUGCUUUUUUAAAAUGACUAAAUCUGUGAGGAGAAAAGAUAAGGGAAAGUUAAGGCCUACUAUUCCCUUUUGAUACCUGUUUUUCUGGAUAAAUGUAGUUGAAUACAUUCCUAUUUCAAAAUCUCUCUCCUCCUUUUGUGAAUUCUCCGUGUUGAUCCCCAUAGCCCAGAAGGGUGGAAAGUGGAAGAUUAUUUGUGUAUCAGCGUGGCCAAGAAAGGGCUCUUGUUGCCUUACCAGCAGCACCCCCUUGUGGUGUUUCUAUGAAUUUCAUAAUUCUAACUACAUUAAAAUUUUCAUGGAC